RNAcentral lists this ribosomal RNA (1340 nucleotides) under uncultured bacterium. Its description in RNAcentral is "bacterial SSU rRNA". It matches the Rfam family "Bacterial small subunit ribosomal RNA", at positions 61 to 1434 of the family's 1533-position model. The record is from RNAcentral.
GUCGAGCGAGUACGACUGAAGUUUACUUCAGUACGGCUAGCGGCAAACGGGUGAGUAACACAUGGGAAUCUACCUUAUAGUACGGAAUAGCCAUCGGAAACGAUGAUUAAUACCGUAUAUUACCUAAGGGUGAAAGAUUUAUCGCUAUAAGAUGAGCCCAUGCAGGAUUAGUUAGUUGGUGGGGUAACUGCCUACCAAGGCUUCGAUCCUUAGCUGGUCUGAGAGGAUGAUCAGCCACACUGGAACUGAGACACGGUCCAGACUCCUACGGGAGGCAGCAGUGAGGAAUUUUGGACAAUGGGCGCAAGCCUGAUCCAGCGACGCCACGUGAGUGAUGAAGGCCUUAGGGUUGUAAAACUCUUUCAGUUGGGAAGAUAAUGACGGUACCAACAAAAGAAGCUCCGGCUAACUUCGUGCCAGCAGCCGCGGUAAUACGAAGGGGGCGAGCGUUACUCGGAUUUACUGGGCGUAAAGCGUGCGUAGGCUGUAUAGUAAGUUGAAAGUGAAAUUCCAGAGCUCAACUCUGGCACUGCUUUCAAAACUGCUUAACUAGAGUACCAGAGAGGAUGGCGGAAUUCCUAGUGUAGGGGUAAAAUCCAUAGAUACUAGGAGGAACACCGGAAGCGUAGGCGGCUAUCUGGCUGGUUACUGACGCUGUUGCACGAAGGCGUGGGGAGCAAACAGGAUUAGAUACCCUGGUAGUCCACGCAGUAAACGAUGAGUGCUAGGUAUUGGAUAUUAUUUUCAGUGCCGUAGCUAACGCGUUAAGCACUCCGCCUGAGUAGUACGGUCGCAAGACUAAAACUCAAAGGAAUUGACGGGGACCCGCACAAGCGGUGGAACAUGUGGUUUAAUUCGAUAAUACGCGAAGAACCUUACCAGAUCUUGACAUGAUAGUCGUACGAUUAUGAAGAUAAUUGGUCAGCUCGGCUGGACUAUCACAGGUGUUGCAUGGUUGUCGUCAGCUCGUGUCGUGAGAUGUUGGGUUAAGUCCCGCAACGAGCGCAACCCUCAUUUCUAGUUACCAGCGAGUAAUGUCGGGCACUCUAGAAAAACUGCCGGUGAUAAGCCGGAGGAAGGUGGGGAUGAGGUCAAAUCAGCAUGGCCCUUAUGGUCUGGGCUACACACGUGUUACAAUGGUUAUGACAAUGAGACGCAAUGGGGUGACCCGGAGCUAAUCUAUAAACAUAGCCUCAGUUCGGAUUGUAUCCUGCAACUCGGAUACAUGAAGUAGGAAUCGCUAGUAAUCGCAGAUCAGCAUGCUGCGGUGAAUACGUUCUCGGGUCUUGUACACACUGCCCGUCACGCCAUGGGAGUCGGUUAUACCUUAAGUACGUGAG